Delphinapterus leucas (beluga whale) is the source of this 1007-nucleotide non-coding RNA. The record is from RefSeq and is a predicted model, not a curated record. NCBI's taxonomy places the organism in Eukaryota, Metazoa, Chordata, Mammalia, Artiodactyla, Monodontidae.
CAGUGAAUCCAAUUGGACUCAAUGCGUGUCUAACUACCAUCUCUAUAGUGAAGAUGGACUCCAUUUUCCCAAAUAUACUGGGUGGAAUUCACAUCAUGGUUGUCUGCUCACACCCACCAUCAAAACCAUGUCCUCAUCUCCUUGUGGCCCAGAAUCUAAUCCCACCUUCUCAGAGAACAUUCCUGCUUCCUCCAGCCAAGGCUCAGGAUAAUCAAAGUUGAGAGGAGGAUGCUCGUUUCCUAGAAAGGAAAGGGCAUCAGAAAGGAAAUUCCUAGGACCCUUCGCAUUUCACAGAAGAAAGAGAAUCCGUUUCCACUGCAGUUUGGAAUGGAAGAACAAUAGGGAUGCUCUGGAAUUAUAAUGGUUGUAUGGGUGAGCAGCCUGGCAAGAAUCAUUUUCAAACACCCCGCAUCCCUGGUGUCAGGGGAGGUGAUCCAGGAGACCACAUCUGAGCUGCCGUGCAGAGUCGCCCUCCAACAUUACUGCCCAUGUCUGGUAAUAACAGGAUACCACCUUGUCUGUUCACCUUUAACCUGGAGGCCCAGACAUCCCUCUCUUUCAUUACACGGUGACCUCUCCCAUCAGCAGCCUGUGACUAUCAAGUCUUUGUUCCUGUGAACUUGGCUGCCAUGUGUGAUUCUGACUGACAACAGAGAGGAGCCCUGGGCUCGGGCGGCAGGUGCAAGCUUCAGGGAAGUUCGCCUUGGGUCACACCAAGCUCCUGCAUGUUUUCUUGAGAGUAGAGAGUCCUGGAUCAUGAUCGCUCCCACCUCAGGACCUUGCUCCAUGGCGACCCCUUUGCCUGGGAAGUUCCUUCUCCUCCUUCUCACCGAAUUAACCUCUCAUCAAGUCCUGUCCCACUUGACGCUGUUCAUGAUGAUGGAGUUUGUUCACGAUGCUAGGGUGCCUGCUUCCCAAUCCAGGUGCCCUGGCGUGGACUGGUCUGCCUGGCAGAAGGUAUGCCUUUUUCUAAUUCUUACAAGUUUACUUGUGACACUGUGAGUCCA